Non-coding RNA from Plectropomus leopardus (leopard coralgrouper), 257 nucleotides. Lineage: Eukaryota; Metazoa; Chordata; Actinopteri; Perciformes; Serranidae. The record is from RefSeq and is a predicted model, not a curated record.
AGUGUGAAGAUGGAGCAACUUGAGUGUAAAUGGACAGACAUUUGCAAACAUCCUGAUGUGUGGACUCUGCUAUGAAUCAGGCCGAGGACACAGAGGACGGAGUCCGUCCCUCUACAACCACUCAGCGUGGGGGACAGGACAGCCAGACCAAAACUCAAAGGAGGAUUAAACAGCAGAAACAAGUCUCGCCUGUCUCCAGCUGUGUGUCCAUGAAAAGUGACUGGUCAAAGGGUCGACCUGUUGAUUUUAAAAGUGGA